CUACGGGUGGCACCAGUGGGGAAUAUUGCACAAUGGGCGCAAGCCUGAUGCAGCCAUGCCGCGUGUAUGAAGAAGGCCUUCGGGUUGUAAAGUACUUUCAGCGGGGAGGAAGGGAGUAAAGUUAAUACCUUUGCUCAUUGACGUUACCCGCAGAAGAAGCACCGGCUAACUCCGUGCCAGCAGCCGCGGUGAAUACGGAGGGUGCAAGCGUUAAUCGGAAUUACUGGGCGUAAAGCGCACGCAGGCGGUUUGUUAAGUCAGAUGUGAAAUCCCCGGGCUCAACCUGGGAACUGCAUCUGAUACUGGCAAGCUUGAGUCUCGUAGAGGGGGGUAGAAUUCCAGGUGUAGCGGUGAAAUGCGUAGAGAUCUGGAGGAAUACCGGUGGCGAAGGCGGCCCCCUGGACGAAGACUGACGCUCAGGUGCGAAAGCGUGGGGAGCAAACAGGAUUAGAUACCCCCGUAGUC
RNAcentral lists this ribosomal RNA (465 nucleotides) under uncultured bacterium. RNAcentral describes it as "partial 16S ribosomal RNA". It matches the Rfam family "Bacterial small subunit ribosomal RNA", at positions 339 to 795 of the family's 1533-position model. The record is from RNAcentral.